GACGAACGCUGGCGGCGUGCCUAAUACACGCAAGUCGAGCGGACUUUCAAGAAGCUUGCUUUUUGAAAGUUAGCGGCGGACGGGUGAGUAACACGUGGGCAACCUGCCUGCAAGACGGGGAUAACUCCGGGAAACCGGGGCUAAUACCGGAUAAUAUCUUCCUUCGCAUGAAGGAAGGUUGAAAGGCGGCGCAAGCUGCCGCUUGCAGAUGGGCCCGCGGCGCAUUAGCUAGUUGGUGAGGUAACGGCUCACCAAGGCGACGAUGCGUAGCCGACCUGAGAGGGUGAUCGGCCACACUGGGACUGAGACACGGCCCAGACUCCUACGGGAGGCAGCAGUAGGAAAUCUUCCGCAAUGGACGAAAGUCUGACGGAGCAACGCCGCGUGAGCGAAGAAGGUCUUCGGAUCGUAAAGCUCUGUUGUCAGGGAAGAACAAGUACCGUUCGAACAGGGCGGUACCUUGACGGUACCUGACCAGAAAGCCACGGCUAACUACGUG
Molecule: ribosomal RNA, 499 nt
Filed under: uncultured bacterium
Lineage: Bacteria
Description: partial 16S ribosomal RNA
Rfam family: Bacterial small subunit ribosomal RNA
Source: RNAcentral